Salvelinus sp. IW2-2015 is the source of this 4765-nucleotide non-coding RNA. The record is from RefSeq and is a predicted model, not a curated record. NCBI's taxonomy places the organism in Eukaryota, Metazoa, Chordata, Actinopteri, Salmoniformes, Salmonidae.
GUCUCCCUCCCCCUCUCUCUCUCUCUCUCCCUCCCUCCCUUCCAUCCACACACACACACACACACACCACUACAGUAUAUCAGCUAGCGACUACCGGAGAGCCAGAGGGGAGUGCAGAAAUGAAUGUGAAGAUCCUGACGCUGGUGAUUGUGCUCUUGGUGUCUCUGCUGUGUUCUGCCAGUGCUGGUCCCAUCAUGGACUCCACAGAGCAUGGCACAGCACUAGAACAGGUGGGCGGCGUGAGAAGGCUGGUCCAGCAGAACCCCGGCAGGGGCAGCCAGAGCCACAGACCAGCCGGCUGGAAGAGGAGACGCCCACGACCUCGUCUCUCCCACAAGGGCCCCAUGCCGUUCUAGAGCAAAGCACUGCUUCGACCGCCCACCCCCAUGUUCUGAUUUCUAUGCUCUUCCUUUGCCUUGUGGGGCCUUGCAACGAAGGGGCCUACGCUUGCCCAGCCUGAAGAGUGAUGUCCUAUAGCACCUGCUGGUUCUUCAAGCAACUCUUUUCUGUCCACAAAACUAUCAGGACACGUCUAUCACCCUCAACUCUAAGAAGAAUUGGGGGCAGGGAAAGGGGGGGUGGGGGGGUACUGAGCCCAAGCUAUCAGAUUCUAUUUCUCCAUCUCUCUCACUCACUCCCUUGCUCCCUAUCUCUGCCUCCCGCCCACCCCCACCCCACCCCACCCCCAAGUGUUUUUGAUCAUUUGCUUUCUAGAGCCCUGUCAUACAGUAGCUGGUCUCCUCUGUGUCGCACACUUUGCAUGACGUGUGGUGGUUGACGGGGAGCAUGGUUCCAGUCUUAGACUUAAAGCCUCAGUCACUUCUCCAUGGUGUGGUAUUCCCAUCCUCUCAGAUCCAAGGUGACCACAGUCGUUAGUUCCAUUACUGUGCAGCUACUUCUGGCUUUACUAAUGAACAGGUGAUGAUAGUGAGGAAAGGCAGUGGUAGAGUUCCAAAAGUUGACUUCUAUAUGUUUCGAGUUAGGCAGAUCCAUUGAAGCCAGGUUAGGAAAUUCACCCAAGAUAUUGUCACCUACAGUAUCUGCAGCAAAACUCAAUCUGAGGUUUUCCUUAUAGAAACUAGAGAAAGGCCAAAAUCAUUACCUUUUUAUUUGAUGUUCAUUUUGGCAAAAUAUGUUAAGUUAACAAAAAUUGGACCAGAGUGAGGAUUCAAUUUCACCGUUCGAAACAGCACAUAUAAUCAAAACAAUCUGCUGUAAGCAUCACAGUAAUUAUUUCACCUGGGAGGUUCUUUAAUCCAAAGCUCUUUUAGGGGGUUAAGCAAUUUUCCCAAGGUUACAGACACCGUGUCCCAGCUGGGAUAAGAGUCCUCUGAUCCCAAAUCCCAAUCCCAUUCCCAAUCCCAUUCCCAAUCCCCGGCCCCCAGCAGCUGCUCUACACGACUGUUAACUGGCAGGACUGGUCUGGUCUGCUUUUGAACAACAGACUCCCUCGCCUUUUAAUGAAGUGCCAAAUAAUAACCUACUCUACAACGCUGCCAGGAAGCAAGGAACGAAAAGGAAGAAAGAAAAGAGAAACACAUGACCUCUUGUUUGUAGUCUGGGUUACUCACAUGCAUUACUAUACAUUUCUAUACACAAGACAAAUCCCAAUUAUAGGCAGUGGUAGCAAGGAGGACAGUUCAAUUAGACCAAAAACACUUUUUCAAGCAGAGACAUGCUGUCAGCUCAGUAAAUAUACCACCAUGUUCUGCCUACCAAUAGUGCUCUCUUCUCUGACUGUUUAGCGCGAGACUGGUUUCGACCCUUUGACCGAGAUCUUUGAUUGACGGAAUGUGCUAUGCCUUUCCAUCGUACUGGAAUAAUAUUACUGUUUUGUUCAAAUGUUUUUCUAUUUUCAUUCAUUUUUUUCUCAGGGUGCUGUGAUAGAAGCCUGUACCAGAGCAAUCUCUCUUUUGCGCAUUUAUUUAAGAAACACAAACAUUUCUAUUUGACAAGCAUAUUGCCAUAUACUGUAUCUUUGCCCUCCCUGCCUAUGUACCACUAUAGCCAUGUAUCCAGACUCAGUCCUUGCUUAGUCAUUUUGGUUCUUUAGCCCCCUGUUGGGUACAGUUUAGUUCACGCUUCCACACACAGGUGGUCAUGGCUUUGAUCAUGAUGUUCAUUAAAUCCCAUGGCUAAUCUCUCUCAGAUGGGCCCUUCCCCUAGGCUGGGGCCUCUCACAGGCUCAGCUUAUUGUCUAAUUGGUUUAGAUUGGAACCACACCCUUCCCCUCUCUACAACCAUAAACCCCUUGUAGAUCUAUCUAACUAUGUAACACGCUGCAAUUGGGACCUGUAGAGCAGAUGCCAUCCAAUCAGCAUCCAGUUUGCUAUUAGGUGUGGGAGGGAUGUUGAAAACCGGUUUUUCGGUUGGUCUCUUAAUCCAAAUAUGGUUUCAACUACAGUAAGAAUGACUUUCACUACUAGACUGUUACCAAUCAUCCAACAAAAAUGGUUUCAUUGUGGCCAGGAGAGGAAAUUGGAACUUAGUUUUGUAACCGGCUUGGUUUCAACCUAGAGUUCCAAUAUGUUACCUUCCCCCAUUGCUAUUUCUCUCCCAGAUUGGAAUUGAAAAGCAGUUUCCCAGCAACUCUCCCUCCCAUCACAAGAAGCUCUUAAUAAGAGAGCAUCUCAAAUCACAGUGGUAACUCACCCAUACAAGCUCGCCUUGAUUAAACAUGUAUUAAAUCUUAGGGCACUGUGAAGUAAUAAUUUUGGUCACACAAUGAUUAUUUCAUACCCUCUCAGACAAAGAUGUAGAUUUCAUUAAUUCUCCUUUGAAAUGAGACUCCUUUUGCUCAGGGUGUCUCAACUAGUAUUAUACAGAGAGAGAGAGUUAGUAGGGGUAGGAGAUGGGGGAGAUGGGGGAGAGAGUUAGUAGGGGUAGGAGCAGGGGGAGAGAGUUAAUAAGGGUAGGAGCUGGGGGAGAGAGUUAGUAGGGGUAGGAGCAGGGGGAGAGAGUUAAUAAGGGUAGGAGCUGGGGGAGAGAGUAGGGGUAGGAGCAGGUGGAGAGAGUUAGUAGGGGUAGGAGCUGGGAAUGGGCAUUCUAAGCCACAGGAGUUGGGCUGGAUUGGGUCAAAAUAAGGGGUUUAUAAAUCACUAUUUUCCUUUCUGAGAAGCAAGUGUUAUAGGAGCCGAGCAAUGUCUGUAUCCACACUGUUCUUCAUGAAUGUAUACCCACCAUCUGCACCAGCCAAGCUGCCCCUCCAGGGGAGUUGAGCAAACCCAAUAUUUAUGUGUAGAGUACAAUUUGAGUCUUGGUCUCCCCAAACUGCCCACAUUACUGCUAGUCCACCCUGAUGAUGGUUAUCAGAUGGAUCCAAACUUCCAAAGACAAAUAUCACAUGAUCCAAAGCCUCCCAAUAUCAAUGACCUCCAUCAAUCAUCUGGCUUUGGUCCAAGACUUCUCUGUACGGGCACGCAAGGCUGCACUUUUGAAAUUCCAUUAUGCUGCUGGAAAAAUAAACCCUGAAAACAAGUCUCUUCUUGAUAUGAAAUGGCUUUCCAGUGUAUUGUGACAAUUUUUUUGUCGUCUGAUUCUUGUCUAGCUGGUUGUCCAAAGCUUAUUUUUUUAAUGCAGUGUGGAAAAUAGCUGUUUCUUUUGUGGUCGUAAACAAAAUAGAAAAUGUAGUCUGCAGAACAAUACGUCAUGGACACGUGAGAGCUUUCGCGCAUUCUCCUCCUAUAGAACAUAGCCUACAGCCCUACAGCCCUAACCAUAUCAGGUUAAUCGAGAUUGUAUAGGGACAAGCUCAAACUGAAAUGGUAAACCAAUACAUUAUGCUCCAAGAGCAAAAAACAUUUUCCUUAAUGGUCUUUUCCAGCAAAGCUUACGCAAGAAACACUAUUCUCAAUCCUCUUCUUCAUUACAUCACAAGGCCUGAGUAAUGUUCCUAUGCACUUGUUAGCAUGUCCCACUGGUAUUUGUUCCGAGAAGGACGCACCACUUUUGUGUUCAGCACCUUUUCCACUUGUCAAAAUUGUGCAUUUGGCUGGGAGUGUGUACGGAGUAGGAAUCAGCAGAGGGCUAAAUGUGUAGGACUGGCAGGGACAAGAAAAGGGAGUCUAGUAGCUAGCAAGCUAGUGAUGAAAAUGCCAGCUUAGCCAGGGGUCACUGUCUCGCUCCAGCUGUAGGCAGUCCCCAUAACCAGUCAGUCGAAACCACUAGGUUUUUAAUCUUCGAUGUUGCUGUCACUUUCUCUCAGCUCUUGACAAGCUACAGUAAAUCCCCUUUUCAAACGUAACAUGACCCGCCAAGGAGAAAGAAAAACGACUAGCUAGCAUGCAAUACAUUCCAUAGUUUUACCUUAUGCAUCUAAGCCCUAUAAUACAGACAGAUUGAGGGUGUCUGCAGGAUCAAGCCCAAUGCAUUCACACAUUUCCACCGGCUGGGCCACCCAAAGGAUAACUAGAUUUCCCAUGGGACUUGAGAAUGAUCUGUCAUUAUCUCACAGACUCAAAUGAGACCUUCAGACUUCAGAAUAGAGAAGGCUCCUCCUCCCAUUGAUUGGAUCCACCACCAAUACCAUUCAGACAGUCGAAGUAGAGUUCCAGAGUGUGUAGGCUUAUAUGCCAUUGCAACAGUGUUACUUACUAGGUCACAAGCAAACUGCAGUUUAAAAAAUGUAUUACAGCUGAACUUCUUCACUUCUGUCUAAGGUGUGUGCUCAUAUUACUCACCAGGCCAAAUGUACAGUCCCUGUCUCUGUUUUGAUGUUGAACUGGACAAAAAAACAAACAUAAAUAAAUAAAUGAAUUAAACAACU